UUCUGCAGAUGCCACUGUUGCUGGAGAAAUGUCACUGCUAGAGAAUGGAAGACUAUUAUUCCAAAGGGUAUUUGAGACUGACUGAAUCAGGUCUGGAACAUUAUUGAAAUGAGACCCACAAAGGAAGAGAUACUGAGUGUAACUGGAUCAUGGUUCAUGCUGAGCUUAAAAUUUGAUCUUCUGAAUAGCAGCAGAAAGACUCUUUCUGGUGAAUGCAGGUCUUCUGAGCAAUUAUCGACUGACUUUGUCAUUAGACACCCCUUUCAGAAGUUGUCAGUGACAUGAAUCUUUGCUCCCUUCUUCGUGGAAUAUUUCUGAUCUAAUAGCCCCUACAUUUCAAAAGAUGAAUGUAAACAUCACAUGAGUAUUACAGGAAAGCUGGAUUGCUCUGCAGUGAGUGAAAUAUGGAAAGGCCUUUCCCACCAAGCAAUAGGCCAAAUUGUAACAGUAAGAUGUAUUUGAAAUAGAAUGGUUCAUAGAUCA
Piliocolobus tephrosceles (Ugandan red Colobus) is the source of this 483-nucleotide long non-coding RNA. RefSeq lists it as uncharacterized. The transcript is spliced from 4 exons. NCBI's taxonomy places the organism in Eukaryota, Metazoa, Chordata, Mammalia, Primates, Cercopithecidae. The record is from RefSeq and is a predicted model, not a curated record.